RNAcentral lists this ribosomal RNA (460 nucleotides) under uncultured bacterium. RNAcentral describes it as "partial 16S ribosomal RNA". It matches the Rfam family "Bacterial small subunit ribosomal RNA", at positions 338 to 795 of the family's 1533-position model. The record is from RNAcentral.
CCUACGGGAGGCAGCAGUGAGGAAUAUUGGUCAAUGGGCGCGAGCCUGAACCAGCCAAGUCGCGUGAGGGAUGACGGUCCUACGGAUUGUAAACCUCUUUUGCCGGGGAGCAAGCGUGCGUUCGUGAACGCGCGUCGAGAGUACCCGGAGAACAAGCAUCGGCUAACUCCGUGCCAGCAGCCGCGGUAAUACGGAGGAUGCGAGCGUUAUCCGGUUUUGUUGGGUUAAAAGGGUGCGUAGGCGGUAUGCACAGUCAGCGGUAAAAAUGCGGUGCUCAACGCCGUCGAGCCGUUGAAACUGGCGUUCUGGAGUGGGCGAGAAGUAUGCGGAAUGCGUGGUGUAGCGGUGAAAUGCAUAGAUAUCACGCAGAACUCCGAUUGCGAAGGCAGCAUACCGGCGCCCUACUGACGCUGAGGCACGAAAGCGUGGGUAUCGAACAGGAUUAGAUACCCGGGUAGUC